AUACGUAGGUGGCGAGCGUUGUCCGGAAUUACUGGGCGUAAAGGGCGUGUAGGCGGGGGGUCAAGUCAGAUGUGAAAUACCGUGGCUUAACUGCGGGGCUGCAUCUGAAACUGGUCUUCUUGAGUGUCGGAGAGGAAAGUGGAAUUCCCAGUGUAGCGGUGAAAUGCGUAGAGAUUGGGAGGAACACCAGUGGCGAAGGCGGCUUUCUGGACGAUAACUGACGCUGAGGCGCGAAAGCGUGGGGAGCAAACAGGAUUAGAUACCCUGGUAGUCCACGCUGUAAACGAUGGAUACUAGGUGUAGGAGGUAUCGACCCCUUCUGUGCCGGAGUUAACACAAUAAGUAUCCCGCCUGGGGAGUACGGCCGCAAGGCUGAA
This 377-nucleotide ribosomal RNA is filed under the name uncultured bacterium. Its description in RNAcentral is "bacterial SSU rRNA". It matches the Rfam family "Bacterial small subunit ribosomal RNA", at positions 523 to 898 of the family's 1533-position model. The record is from RNAcentral.